CGCAGCGCGCUCCCCGCAACCACCCGCGCCCCGCGCGCAGGGCCUCGCGCCCAGGACACACCUGAGUGUCCUUCCCCUUCGCGGACCGCGGGCCGGGGACUCCCGGGAGUGGGCGCAAGCGCUGGACGCACAACAGGCGAGAGUCAGUGGGAGGCCCGGGCCGCUUUAUUCGUCCAGGGACAGCGCCCCACCCUCGCCCCUCCGCCCGCUGCCCCCCCGGCGCCCCCGCGCUCAGCGCCCGUUGCGGGGGCCGCGCAGCUGCCCCAUCAUGUCGGCCAGCAUGCGGUUGCACAGCGCGGCGUAGGGGUUGAGCAGCACCAGCUGGCGCCGCGCGAACGGGCUGCCCAGCCGCGCCGCGCGCUCGAAGUCCCUGCGGGCGUCGUCGUCCCGGCCCUGCAGCCGCGCCAGGAGCCCGCGCUGCACGAAGCUCUGGCGGGCGACGCGGCCCUGGCCGCCGCUCAGAGACACCGCGCGCUCCAGGUCCAACCCAGCAACGUCUCCAAAUGGGGUAUCAGGGUUGAAGAUGGCCUGCAACACGGCCUGAUCAUUUGGAGUUCCCAUGGUGCUCAACUCCAAAAUCCGAGAGAAGAGGCAGGAAGAAGGGAUGGGGACUGACAUCCACAGCUGACAGAGAAAAGCUUGGAAGAACACAAGGAAAAAAAAAAAAACAAAAGAUCUGUUAUACAUGAUAAAGUUGUCAAGAAAUGUCUUAUUUCUAGAAAAGAAGCUUGUCAUCUGUUGAGCUCUUGAAACAAUUAUUCAACUACCUGUAUUUACUAAAGAGACUGUUAAAAGUUCAAUAAAAGAAACACCACAA
Long non-coding RNA from Choloepus didactylus (southern two-toed sloth), 817 nucleotides. RefSeq lists it as uncharacterized. The record is from RefSeq and is a predicted model, not a curated record. The transcript has 3 exons. NCBI's taxonomy places the organism in Eukaryota, Metazoa, Chordata, Mammalia, Pilosa, Megalonychidae.